RNAcentral lists this ribosomal RNA (444 nucleotides) under uncultured bacterium. Its description in RNAcentral is "bacterial SSU rRNA". It matches the Rfam family "Bacterial small subunit ribosomal RNA", at positions 9 to 444 of the family's 1533-position model. The record is from RNAcentral.
GAGUUUGAUCGUGGCUCAGGACGAACGCUGGCGGCGUGCCUAACACAUGCAAGUCGAGCGGGGAACAUUGAAAGCUUGCUUUUGGUGUUUCUAGCGGCGGACGGGUGAGUAACGCGUGAGCAAUCUGUCUCAGACAGGGGGAUAACGCAGCGAAAGUUGCACUAAUACCGCAUAAGACCACAGAGCCACACGGCAUAGGGGUCAAAGGAGCAAUCCGGUCUGAGGUGAGCUCGCGUCCCAUUAGGUAGUUGGUGAGGUAACGGCCCACCAAGCCUGCGAUGGGUAGCCGACCUGAGAGGGUGAUCGGCCACACUGGAACUGAGACACGGUCCAGACUCCUACGGGAGGCAGCAGUGGGGAAUAUUGGGCAAUGGGGGAAACCCUGACCCAGCAACGCCGCGUGAGGGAAGAAGGUUUUCGGAUUGUAAACCUCUGUCCUAAGAG